This 410-nucleotide ribosomal RNA is filed under the name Passiflora misera. Lineage: Eukaryota; Viridiplantae; Streptophyta; Magnoliopsida; Malpighiales; Passifloraceae. The record is from RNAcentral.
GUCCUACCAACAGAACAAACCCCCGGGGUAAAAUGGGCCCAGGAAUCUUAAAUGAAAAAAAAAAGGAACCCGCACCCUAACGUGGCGGGAACGGAAUUCCCAAGGGCGGGUGGUUUCCUUGGUUAAAAACUAAAUGACUCUCCGCAACGGAUAUCUUGGCUCUCGCCUCCAUGAAAAACGUAACGAAAUGGGAUACUUGGUGGGGAUUGGAGAAUCCCGUGGACCAUCCAGUUUUUGAACGCCAGUUGCGCCCAAAGCCUUCCGGGCCAGGGCACGUCUGGCUGGGUGGCAUGGAUCGGUGCCCCCUCCAACUUCCUCUGGGGGGAAAAUGGACUAAGGGCGGAAAUUGGUCUCCCGUGGGGUCCCGCUCGUGGUUGGCCGAAAAUCCAGUCGUUGGGGAUAGUGGCACG